GGAUGUGAGGGCUGCGACCUCUGUCACCCCAUUGAUUGCCAGGGUUGAUUCAGCUGAUCUGGCUGGCUAGGCAGGUGUUCUCUUCCUCCCUUACCGCUCCAUGUGCGUCCCUCCCGAAGCUGUGUGUUUGAUCAAAGAGAACAACUUUCCUUGAUAGAGGUGGUACUGUUCAUCAGUCAAGGGUAUAUGGUAGCUGCACUCUCCUGCUAGAACCUCCAAAAAAGCUCAGGGUCCUGUUGCAGGAGAAUGUAGGAUAGUCAAGCUUCCAAGACUGCAGACACAUCCACGUGAGGCACUGCAUGGGGUAGUCUGACAUUGGU
This 320-nucleotide small nuclear RNA is filed under the name Leptosomus discolor (cuckoo roller). RNAcentral describes it as "7SK RNA". It matches the Rfam family "7SK RNA". From Rfam's summary of the family: 7SK was discovered as an abundant small nuclear RNA in the mid-70s but a possible function has only recently been suggested. Two independent studies have found that 7SK RNA binds the CDK9/cyclin T complex (known as elongation factor P-TEFb). P-TEFb activates transcription by phosphorylating the C-terminal domain of RNA polymerase II. The record is from Rfam by way of RNAcentral. Lineage: Eukaryota; Metazoa; Chordata; Aves; Leptosomiformes; Leptosomidae.